Molecule: ribosomal RNA, 415 nt
Filed under: uncultured Rhizobium/Agrobacterium group bacterium
Lineage: Bacteria; Pseudomonadati; Pseudomonadota; Alphaproteobacteria; Hyphomicrobiales; Rhizobiaceae
Description: bacterial SSU rRNA
Rfam family: Bacterial small subunit ribosomal RNA
Source: RNAcentral
GGAAUAUUGGACAAUGGGCGCAAGCCUGAUCCAGCCAUGCCGCGUGUGUGAUGAAGGCCUUAGGGUUGUAAAGCACUUUCACCGGAGAAGAUAAUGACGGUAUCCGGAGAAGAAGCCCCGGCUAACUUCGUGCCAGCAGCCGCGGUAAUACGAAGGGGGCUAGCGUUGUUCGGAAUUACUGGGCGUAAAGCGCACGUAGGCGGAUCGAUCAGUCAGGGGUGAAAUCCCAGAGCUCAACUCUGGAACUGCCUUUGAUACUGUCGGUCUAGAGUAUGGAAGAGGUGAGUGGAAUUCCGAGUGUAGAGGUGAAAUUCGUAGAUAUUCGGAGGAACACCAGUGGCGAAGGCGGCUCACUGGUCCAUUACUGACGCUGAGGUGCGAAAGCGUGGGGAGCAAACAGGAUUAGAUACCCGAG